CAUGUAAUUGCUGCACUCGUUGUGCUAUGGGUCAUGGGACAAAAUGAAUGACUUUAGCAGGGUCUCAGACAGUGGUGGUGGUAGGCUGGGGGCCAAUUACAAGGCCCAGUUUAGACAGGAUAGCAUCCAUCUCUGAGGCAUCUGACACCUUCUGCUCUGUGUCCUGGUGCAAGAUAGGAAGGUAACGAGGAGAACCCCAUCUGUACAUUAGGCCGUUGGCGGUUAGGAUUGAUGUGAGAGGUCGGAGAGUCUUUCACCACUG
This is a non-coding RNA of Pelobates cultripes (western spadefoot toad), 262 nucleotides long. Lineage: Eukaryota; Metazoa; Chordata; Amphibia; Anura; Pelobatidae. The record is from the annotation of a GenBank genome assembly.